UUUACAUUUUUUUUUGUAAAAAAAAAAGGAAAAUACAAGCAAAAUUAAGGAGUUGUAACCCUGUAUCUACCAACUAGGGUAAGAUAAAUGGCAUCACAGUCUCACUUCAAUUUUCUUUUCUGUUUUCACUAUAGCAGAAAGGUGUGAUCAGCCAUAAUGGCCAAAACUAAGGGUAGGAGUUGAAUGGAUUUUGUAUCCCAUCUCUCUCUCUCUCUCUCUCUCUCUCUCUCUCUCUCCCUCUCUCUCUCUCUCUCUCUCUCUAUAUAUAUAUAUUAAUUGAUUAGUGUUAUUAUAAUUUAAGUGAGAGACAGAGUCAAAAGAAAGCAGACACAAAUGCUAGCUUCAAGAAAUGACCACGACCCCCCGGACCCCAUGCUCUUUCUCUCUCCCUCCCAAAGCCAACUUUUCCUUUUCUUUUAGGUAAAAACAAAUGAUUAUCUUCAUCAUCAUGUUCAUUGUCUAUGAUUUUUAGCACAAACCCACAAAUUCUUGUCAAAAGGAUUUGGUUUUUUCACCCUCUGGAUCCGCACAACAAAAGAAGAUGAAAAAAGAAUGGAGUGGUUUACUGAGGAAGAAGAUAGCUAUUGCUUGCUAGGAAGCUUUUCUUUUUGAGGGGAAUGUUGUCUGGUUCAAGGUCAUGCGAUGCUAUACAUAUGAUUUGUUUAUCUUUUAGCUAGUUCUCCUCGGACCAGGCUUCAUUCCUCUCAAUUACUGCUUCCAUAUAAAUCCAUAUGCAGCAGGAAUAUUAUACACUUCUUCAGCUGCUCAUCAAUCGGAUCAACUUCAAGAUUUAGAGUUAUACAGAGGUGGCAAAAAGAUCUCAGGACUUUUCAAUGCAUUGAAAGUUAAAGAAAGGAUAGAACAGAGAUAGAUCUCAGGACAUUCAACUUGCAUGGCAAAGGAAAGUUGGUCUCAUUGAAAUUCAUGCCAUGCAAAAAUCCUUCCACAUGCUCUUCCUUCUUCCACUGCAAUGAAAUGAAUGAAUAUUAAUUUGGAUGAUUUCACUAGAAAGAUUGAUGACGAAUUUGACGAUGAUGAUGGUGAUAUUAUGUGUGUGUGUUGAUAUCAAAUCUUUCACUGUGUCUCUGUGGGGUUUCACAGCUGCUACUUUUACAAAGAACGUCAGCAUACGCAGUAGGUAAUCCAGAGAAUCUCAUUGUCAUUUUCUUGUAACUGGGAAAAUCUCCAUUUAACGAAAAAGCUCAAUGGCAAACUUCAGUGCCCAUCUUUUAUCUGCUUAAAGCAAUUUCCAAAACUGUCCACUGAUCAUCUCGAAAGCUGAUUUUCUCUACACAUUGCCCAAGGGAAUCAUUUACUUUCCUGGGGUCUGAUGUUUGCAUUUCUUUUUGCAAUUUCUGUGUAAGUUUUCAUCAUCUGUAUGCUUUGAUUUUUCCCCCCUUUCUUAGAAGAAUAAGAUGAUGAUGAUGGUGGUAAUAUCAAUGAAGUGAAGAAGGAUAAGUUUUUAAGUGGAUUGUUGUGAAGAAUUGCCGAAUGCUAGGAAUGCAAAUUAUCUAUUCAUUCUAA
This is a long non-coding RNA of Hevea brasiliensis (rubber tree), 1524 nucleotides long. RefSeq lists it as uncharacterized. The transcript is spliced from 2 exons. Lineage: Eukaryota; Viridiplantae; Streptophyta; Magnoliopsida; Malpighiales; Euphorbiaceae. The record is from RefSeq and is a predicted model, not a curated record.